RNAcentral lists this ribosomal RNA (514 nucleotides) under Cephalothrix spiralis. RNAcentral's name for it is "partial large subunit ribosomal RNA". It matches the Rfam family "Bacterial large subunit ribosomal RNA", at positions 1808 to 2592 of the family's 2925-position model. The record is from RNAcentral. Lineage: Eukaryota; Metazoa; Nemertea; Palaeonemertea; Archinemertea; Cephalotrichidae.
CAAAAACAUAGCUUUUUGAAUUUUUAAAAAGGGGUUUCUGCCCGGUGUAAUAAUUUAUUAACGGCCGCGGUAUUCUGACCGUGCGAAGGUAGCAUAAUCAUUUGUCUUAUAAUUGAAGACUGGAAUGAAGGAGUUUACAAAGAAAGAACUGUCUUUUUUAAGUUUAUAAAAUUUAUUGUUAAAGUGAAGAAACUUUUUUAAGGAAAUUAGACGAGAAGACCCUAUUGAGCUUAAACUAUAUUUUUUUAUAUAUUUUAGUUAACUUUAUUUAUAUAUAAAUUUAUUUAGUUGGAUUGGGGCGAUUAAGGAAAUUUUUAUUUACUUCCUUUUUUUUUUUUACUGUUAAGUUAUUUUUGAUCCAUUUUUAAUGAUUAAAAAAAUAAGUUACCAUAGGGAUAACAGCGUAAUCUUUUUUUAGAGUUCUUAUCAAAAAAAGGGUUUGCGACCUCGAUGUUGGACUAAGGUAUCCUAAAGGUGUAGAASCUUUUGAGGGUAGGUCUGUUCGACCUUUAAA